GACGAACGCUGGCGGCGUGCUUAACACAUGCAAGUCGAACGGAAAGGCCCUGCUUUUGUGGGGUGCUCGAGUGGCGAACGGGUGAGUAACACGUGAGUAACCUGCCCUUGACUUUGGGAUAACAUCAGGUAACUGGGGCUAAUACCGGAUAGGAGCUCCUGCUGCAUGGUGGGGGUUGGAAAGUUUAGGCGGUUGGGGAUGGACUCGCGGGUUAUCAGCUUGCUGGUGGGGUAGUGGCUUACCAAGGCUUGGACGGGUAGCCGGCAUGAGAGGGGGACCGGCCACAUGGGGCCUGCGAGACGGCCCAGACUCCUACGGGAGGCAGCAGUGGGGAAUAUGGCACAAUGGGCGGAAGCCUGAUGCAGCAACGCCGCGUGCGGGAUGACGGCCUUCGGGUUGUAAACCGCUUUAGCCUGUGACGAAGCGUGAGUGACGGUAAUGGGUAAAGAAGCACCGGCUAACUACGUG
Molecule: ribosomal RNA, 468 nt
Filed under: uncultured bacterium
Lineage: Bacteria
Description: partial 16S ribosomal RNA
Rfam family: Bacterial small subunit ribosomal RNA
Source: RNAcentral